This 253-nucleotide ribosomal RNA is filed under the name uncultured bacterium. RNAcentral's name for it is "partial 16S ribosomal RNA". It matches the Rfam family "Bacterial small subunit ribosomal RNA", at positions 524 to 776 of the family's 1533-position model. The record is from RNAcentral.
UACGUAGGUGGCAAGCGUUGUCCGGAUUUAUUGGGUUUAAAGGGUGCGUAGGCGGUUCUAUAAGUCAGUGGUGAAAUCCGGCAGCUCAACUGUCGAUGUGCCAUUGAUACUGCAGAACUUGAGUACAGACGAGGUAGGCGGAAUUGACGGUGUAGCGGUGAAAUGCGUAGAUAUCGGAAGGAACACCAGUGGCGAAAGCGGCUUCCUGGUCCAGCACCGACGUUCAGGCACGAAAGCGUGGGGAGCAAACAGG